RNAcentral lists this ribosomal RNA (253 nucleotides) under uncultured bacterium. RNAcentral describes it as "partial 16S ribosomal RNA". It matches the Rfam family "Bacterial small subunit ribosomal RNA", at positions 524 to 776 of the family's 1533-position model. The record is from RNAcentral.
UACAGAGGUCCCAAGCGUUGUUCGGAUUCACUGGGCGUAAAGGGUGCGUAGGUGGUUGGGUAAGUCUGAUGUGAAAUCUCCGAGCCUAACUCGGAAACUGCAUCGGAUACUAUUCGGCUAGAGGGUUGGAGGGGGGACUGGAAUUCUCGGUGUAGCAGUGAAAUGCGUAGAUAUCGAGAGGAACACCAGUGGCGAAGGCGAGUCCCUGGACAACUCCUGACACUGAGGCACGAAAGCGUGGGGAGCAAACAGG